AGCAGUCGCCACGGUAAUACGUAGGGUGCAAGCGUUAAUCGGAAUUACUGGGAGUAAAGCGUGCGCAGGCGGUUUUGUAAGACAGAGGUGAAAUCCCCGGGCUCAACCUGGGAACUGCCUUUGUGACUGCAAGGCUAGAGUACGGCAGAGGGGGAUGGAAUUCCGCGUGUAGCAGUGAAAUGCGUAGAUAUGCGGAGGAACACCGAUGGCGAAGGCAAUCCCCUGGGCCUGUACUGACGCUCAUGCACGAAAGCGUGGGGAGCAAACAGGAUUAGAUACCCCUGUAGUCCCUGUCUCUUAUAC
This 303-nucleotide ribosomal RNA is filed under the name uncultured bacterium. Its description in RNAcentral is "partial 16S ribosomal RNA". It matches the Rfam family "Bacterial small subunit ribosomal RNA", at positions 507 to 807 of the family's 1533-position model. The record is from RNAcentral.